GGUGGCUCAGUGGUAGAGUGCUUGCCUUGCAUGCAUGAGGCCCUGGGUUCUAUCCCUCAGCACCA
Molecule: non-coding RNA, 65 nt
Organism: Dipodomys ordii (Ord's kangaroo rat)
Lineage: Eukaryota; Metazoa; Chordata; Mammalia; Rodentia; Heteromyidae
Source: Rfam